This 272-nucleotide ribosomal RNA is filed under the name uncultured archaeon. Its description in RNAcentral is "partial 16S ribosomal RNA". It matches the Rfam family "Bacterial small subunit ribosomal RNA", at positions 524 to 794 of the family's 1533-position model. The record is from RNAcentral.
UACGUAGGGGGCAAGCGUUGUCCGGAAUCAUUGGGCGUAAAGAGCGCGUAGGCGGCCCGACAAGUCCGCUGUGAAAGUCAAGGGCUUAACCCUUGGAUGCCGGUGGAUACUGUCGGGCUAGAGUCCGGAAGAGGCGAGUGGAAUUCCUGGUGUAGCGGUGAAAUGCGCAGAUAUCGGGAGGAACACCGGUGGCGAAGGCGGGAUCCUGGACCGGUUGCUGACGCUGAGGCGCGAAAGCUGGGGGAGCGAACAGGAUUAGAAACCCCGGUAGU